UACGUAGGGGGCUAGCGUUGUUCGGAAUUACUGGGCGUAAAGCGCGCGCAGGCGGUCCUUCAAGUCAGAGGUGAAAGCCCAGAGCUCAACUCUGGAAUGGCCUUUGAGACUAGAGGACUUGGGUACGGGAGAGGUGAGUGGAAUUCCGAGUGUAGAGGUGAAAUUCGUAGAUAUUCGGAAGAACACCAGUGGCGAAGGCGGCUCACUGGCCCGUUACCGACGCUCAGGCGCGACAGCGUGGGGAGCAAACAGG
RNAcentral lists this ribosomal RNA (253 nucleotides) under uncultured bacterium. Its description in RNAcentral is "partial 16S ribosomal RNA". It matches the Rfam family "Bacterial small subunit ribosomal RNA", at positions 524 to 776 of the family's 1533-position model. The record is from RNAcentral.